UACGUAGGGUGCAGGCGUUAUUCGGAUUUACUGGGCUUAAAGAGUUCGUAGGCGGUUCGGUAAGUGAGGUGUGAAAGCCCUCGGCUCAACCGAGGAAUUGCGCUUCAAACUGCCGGGCUCGAGGGAGAUAGAGGUGAGCGGAACUGAUGGUGGAGCGGUGAAAUGCGUUGAUAUCAUCAGGAACACCAGAGGCGAAGGCGGCUCACUGGGUCUCUUCUGACGCUGAGGAACGAAAGCUAGGGGAGCAAACGGG
RNAcentral lists this ribosomal RNA (253 nucleotides) under uncultured bacterium. RNAcentral's name for it is "partial 16S ribosomal RNA". It matches the Rfam family "Bacterial small subunit ribosomal RNA", at positions 524 to 776 of the family's 1533-position model. The record is from RNAcentral.